GAUGAACGCUGGCGGCGUGCCUAAUACAUGCAAGUCGAGCGAACAGAUAAGGAGCUUGCUCCUUUGACGUUAGCGGCGGACGGGUGAGUAACACGUGGGUAACCUACCUAUAAGACUGGGAUAACUUCGGGAAACCGGAGCUAAUACCGGAUAACAUUUGGAACCGCAUGGUUCUAAAGUGAAAGAUGGUUUUGCUAUCACUUAUAGAUGGACCCGCGCCGUAUUAGCUAGUUGGUAAGGUAACGGCUUACCAAGGCGACGAUACGUAGCCGACCUGAGAGGGUGAUCGGCCACACUGGAACUGAGACACGGUCCAGACUCCUACGGUAGGCAGCAGUAGGGAAUCUUCCGCAAUGGGCGAAAGCCUGACGGAGCAACGCCGCGUGAGUGAUGAAGGGUUUCGGCUCGUAAAACUCUGUUAUUAGGGAAGAACAAACGUGAAAGUAACUGUGCACGUCUUGACGGUACCUAAUCAGAAAGCCACGGCUAACUACGUG
Molecule: ribosomal RNA, 497 nt
Filed under: uncultured bacterium
Lineage: Bacteria
Description: partial 16S ribosomal RNA
Rfam family: Bacterial small subunit ribosomal RNA
Source: RNAcentral